This 967-nucleotide ribosomal RNA is filed under the name Vibrio parahaemolyticus. Its description in RNAcentral is "partial 23S ribosomal RNA". It matches the Rfam family "Bacterial large subunit ribosomal RNA", at positions 171 to 1190 of the family's 2925-position model. The record is from RNAcentral. Lineage: Bacteria; Pseudomonadati; Pseudomonadota; Gammaproteobacteria; Vibrionales; Vibrionaceae.
GCAGCGAGGCGAACCGGGGGAACUGAAACAUCUAAGUACCCCGAGGAAAAGAAAUCAACCGAGAUUCCGAAAGUAGCGGCGAGCGAAAUUGGACUAGCCCUUAAGCUUUACACGCGUUAGACGAACGGUCUGGAAAGUCCGACGAUACAGGGUGAUAGUCCCGUAGUUGACGACGUGUGUUCAGUGAAAUCGAGUAGGGCGGGACACGUGAUAUCCUGUCUGAAUAUGGGGGGACCAUCCUCCAAGGCUAAAUACUACUGACUGACCGAUAGUGAACCAGUACCGUGAGGGAAAGGCGAAAAGAACCCCUGUGAGGGGAGUGAAAUAGAACCUGAAACCGUGUACGUACAAGCAGUAGGAGCAGGCUUGUCCUGUGACUGCGUACCUUUUGUAUAAUGGGUCAGCGACUUAUAUUCAGUGGCAAGGUUAACCAUCUAGGGGAGCCGUAGGGAAACCGAGUCUUAACUGGGCGUUCAGUCUCUGGAUAUAGACCCGAAACCAGGUGAUCUAGCCAUGGGCAGGUUGAAGGUUGAGUAACAUCAACUGGAGGACCGAACCGACUAAUGUUGAAAAAUUAGCGGAUGACUUGUGGCUAGGGGUGAAAGGCCAAUCAAACCUGGAGAUAGCUGGUUCUCCCCGAAAGCUAUUUAGGUAGCGCCUCGGACGAAUACUACUGGGGGUAGAGCACUGUUAAGGCUAGGGGGUCAUCCCGACUUACCAACCCUUUGCAAACUCCGAAUACCAGUAAGUACUAUCCGGGAGACACACGGCGGGUGCUAACGUCCGUCGUGGAGAGGGAAACAACCCAGACCGCCAGCUAAGGUCCCAAAUUACUACUAAGUGGGAAACGAUGUGGGAAGGCUCAGACAGCCAGGAUGUUGGCUUAGAAGCAGCCAUCAUUUAAAGAAAGCGUAAUAGCUCACUGGUCGAGUCGGCCUGCGCGGAAGAUGUAACGGGGCUAAGUAGU